Molecule: non-coding RNA, 2729 nt
Organism: Microcebus murinus (gray mouse lemur)
Lineage: Eukaryota; Metazoa; Chordata; Mammalia; Primates; Cheirogaleidae
Source: RefSeq, a predicted model, not a curated record
UAAUUUUUGGAUCAUUUUUAUUUAUGUGAUCUCUUCAUUUUCAUUCAGUCUUUUGGAGAUAUGAUUCCUAUAGUGUCCAGGUCAAAUCUGGCCCUGUGUAUAAUUGUUAAAACAUUGUUAAUAGAUUCCAAACACAGCUGUCAGUAUAUUUUCACUUUGUGAAUUUCCUGGCUUGUAGCUUAACUGUGAAAACCUACAGAAGAAGAUAGAAAAAUGGUCAGAGGCAGUCAGAGAGAAGAAAGCAGUCUACUCCCCAAGCUUGACCCAAGAAAGACCUGCCCUCUUUUUGUCCUCACCUGUCUUGUGACCAAGUGCUUGGCACAGCUACUAAAGCAGCACCCUCUGAUUAAGGACUAGGGCCUUGCUUUUUCUAAGGCCCUUUCCCCCUGCCAAGAGCUUCCACCCUCCUCCCAGUGACGGAGAGGGUGAGUUCCUGGAUUGCUUUAGUUCAACCUCAGAGUCUGCAGAAAAAGGCUGGGUGAACCUGGCCUUGCAGACAGAAAGUAAGAUGAGUGGGCUGAAGCAACUGAAAGGUAUAUGUGCAUCUGUAGGGAUUUUCUAGGACAUCAUUUUAAGAGAUAUAAUAUCUUUUAAAGGUUUUAACAAAGGGAAAACAUGCAGUUUAAGCAUUCCCCUAGUGCCUUUUGUGGGAGAAAAAUUUUACAUAUUAUUUCUAGUUUUUUCAGCAAUCCUAUGAGGCUAAUACUAUAACUGCCAUUUUGUAGAUUAAAAAAACUGAGCUUUUGAAAAAUUAAAGCACUGACUCAAAGUCAUAGAGCUAUGGAAUGUGAGGACCAGGCCUGACUCUGAAUCCCUUACUCUUUCCAUGCAAUUAAGUUUGAAAAGGGGCAGGGAGUAGAGUUCUAAGUUCACAAGUGUCAGUUCUUAUAUUUCUGUCUAGAUAUGCAAUAUUACUUGAUUUUUUAUUUUGAACCAUGUUUUCCAGCAAUCAAAGGAUUUAUUACAGGAUGUUUUCCUGCCAGCAAAUUCUAUUGAGCUGAAUCACAAACACUGCCUCGCCUUCUGUCACUGUUCAUAAUUUAUUCAUGGAUUGCUGGUUCCUCAUUAUAAUAGCGUUAUAUCCAAGUUAUGUAUUUUGAAUGAUCCUUUCAAGGCUUUUGGGAGGAUAUUAAGGGAGAGGUGGAGAGAGGCAUUUUAUAGAUAACUUUUCUUAUGAAACAAAUGAUUACUUUAUCUGGAUACAAGUCAUUCAGAUUCUACUGGUUCAAGAAAAAUAGCAAUCAAAGAAAGUGAAGGAUAAAUUGAAAGAGUAAAUGCCCAGGAUAAUAAUCCAUGAGAAGCACUAAAUAUAAUUGCUACAAAUCACAGAAAUUGAAAAGAAUGUUUAUUUACCCCCAAAAUUCAUAAGUUGAAAUCCUAUUCCCCAGUGUGAUGGUAUUUGGAGGUGGGACGUUUGGGAGGUGAUUAGGUCAUAACAGUGACCUUGUGACUGGAAUUAUUGCCCUUAUAGUAGAGACUCCAGAGAGCUCCCUUGUCUUUUUCCACCACAUGUGAACACAAUGAGAAGACAGUGGUCUACAACCUGGAAGAGGACCUUCACAAGAGCCUGAUCGUGCUGGCACCAUGUUGUGGACUUCCAGCUUCCAUAACUUUUCCAGGUAACAUUGAUGCUGCUGGGCCAGGAACCACAUUUUGAAGACCACUGGCUCUCACUCUGGAGAAAAUCACAGCGAAAUGCAAUAGUCCAACAUCAGAAUGUCUGGACCACUCAGUGAAAUGAAAUCAGAUUCCUUCUCUUGGCUGAGUCCCAAUACUGGUAAUCAAAUUACUGAGUGGUUCACCAUCUCAAGUAGAAGACUGAGCCUCAGAGUGCCAGUGUCCAUUAGCCAUCAAGUGACAUUGCAUGAAUAAACCCAAGUAGAGUUUAAAUAGACUAUAGAUGCCUGGAAAGAAAAUAUACACACUCAUCGUCCUCAAGUUUCUGAUGUAUUUGGCCAAGGACAUACAGUCUUAGUGGCAGCCAGCUGGCCACAUGUCUUGGCAUAUCUCAGUGAAGCUUCCUUCGGCCACCAAAGCCCCCAAAGACAGACAUACAGCUGUUAACACAAACUACACAAGGUAAGUCUUUCCAGGUCUGGGAAGCUUAAUUUUGUUCUGUACUCUUUAUGCCAGGGAUAUAAAUUGCUAUUUAGAAAAAGCUUAAGCAAUAUGUGCCCUUAUUGGGGGGGAAAGAAAAAAAAAAAGAAAAGACACUGGGACUCGUUGGCUCUCAAGCCAAACUUGGCAACAAACUUAUUCAGAGAGAAAAACAGAAUGAAUGCCCAGAUAUUUAUGAGUAGUGUCCUGACUCUGGCUUUCUAGGGUCUUGGAAAGUCCAUUUCCACCCACAUAAUCUUUCCUCCUCCAACCCCAUUUCCCCAAAUCACUAACCAGAACAAUAAAUCCAUGAUAUGUAGGAGAAGCGAAUAAUGACUUUAUAGAUAAUAAAUCUUAGACAAGCUCAAUACUUGUGCAUAUUUGAGAGGUGGUAAAUCUUAGAGCAAUCUAAAUGUAGCUCUUAUACUACUACAAAAUAAAAAUAUAUGUGAAAAAAACACAAUAAAGUCUAUUAGCCACUCAAGAUCUGUAAGAAGACAUUAUAUUCAAAUGUUAUAUUAGAUCAUGAAUAAUGUGGAAAUCUAAAUCUGAGUCAAACCAUACCAAGGGAGCAAUGCUUCCUACCAUUGGACUUAUUUUUUAAAUUGAGUUAUAUUUUUUGUAAAUUUAUA